RNAcentral lists this long non-coding RNA (223 nucleotides) under Hordeum vulgare. Its description in RNAcentral is "long non-coding RNA (HVUL_LNC005840)". The record is from RNAcentral. Lineage: Eukaryota; Viridiplantae; Streptophyta; Magnoliopsida; Poales; Poaceae.
GUGGUAUAAGCUAUCACGGUCGAGAGUGGGUAUAUAUAUCGACCGCCCCUCAUGUCAAAGUUAUCCGGGAGGGGGUUAUAUCGACAAUGACGCGACAUACAUAUACAUGGGAAACUAAUGUUAUCGGGGAGGGGGUAUAUCGGUACCCCCCCUCGUGUUGAAGUUCGAUCGGGAGGGGGUAUAUCGACAACGACAUACCCGAUAAAAAAUAAGAAGACAAAAG